GGGGAUUUAGCUCAGUGGUAGAGCGCUUGCCUACCAACCGCAAGGCCCUGGGUUCAGUCCCCA
This 63-nucleotide transfer RNA is filed under the name Rattus norvegicus (Norway rat). It matches the Rfam family "tRNA". Rfam says of the family: Transfer RNA (tRNA) molecules are approximately 80 nucleotides in length. Their secondary structure includes four short double-helical elements and three loops (D, anti-codon, and T loops). Lineage: Eukaryota; Metazoa; Chordata; Mammalia; Rodentia; Muridae. The record is from Rfam by way of RNAcentral.